Molecule: RNA transcript, 5207 nt
Organism: Carya illinoinensis
Lineage: Eukaryota; Viridiplantae; Streptophyta; Magnoliopsida; Fagales; Juglandaceae
Gene name: pre-mRNA-splicing factor ATP-dependent RNA helicase DEAH10-like
Exons: 9
Source: RefSeq, a predicted model, not a curated record
GUCGCCAGCUCCCUCUCUCUCUCUCUAAGCUCACCUCGCGGCGUCAUAUAUAUAUAUAUAUAUAUAUCUCUCUCUCUCUCAAAAAUCUCGCAGCUUCACCGUAGUCUCUCGCUUUCUCUCACGGCGCACACAGCCACUGAUGACGCCGACGAAUCAACCGGAGUUACGCCGAGAUCGAGGACGACGGUUUCCUCCCCCUUCUCCGGCCAGUUUCGGUCGAGAUUUUCAUCAUUUUCACCCCAUCGGUGCGGUUUCGGAGUCAAAAAUUGAAACCGAUAUGUCGGUUUUCACCCCUAUAACCAGCUUAGAAUUUUUGCGCAUCUUUUUUUACAAAUGUUGUUAGUCGUUCUAAUAUCGUGGUUGAUUACAGCCCCCGCCAAUGCCACCUUUUCCGACAACGUUCAUCUACCCUCGCUGAACUAAUACGGAGGAGUCCGGCCAUGUUCAACAAACGAACCAGGUUAGAAAUUUUUCAUAUAAUUUUUUUCCUUUAUGUUGUUAUGCAUUCUAAUAUCGUGCUUAAUUACAACCCCCACCAAGGCCACAUCUUCUAACAACGUUUAUCUACCCUCCGUCGACUAAUGCAGAGGAGUCGGGCCAUGUUUAGCAACCUAACUAGGUUAGAACUUUUGCGCAUCUUUUUUUACAAAUUUUGUUACCCGUUCUAAUAUCAUGCUUGAUUAUAGCCCCCUUCAAUGCCACAUUUUUCGACAACGUUCAUCUACCCUCCAUCGACUAAUGUGGAGGAGUCGGCCAUGUUCAAAAAACGAACUAGGUUAGAAAUUUUGCAUAUAAUUUUUUUUCCUUUAAGUUGUUACGCAUUCUAAUAUCGUGCUUGAUUAUAGCCCCCUUCAAUGCCACAUUUUUCGACAACGUUCAUCUACCCUCCCCCAACUAAUACGGAAGAGUCCGGCCAUGUUUAACAAAUGAACUAGGUAAUUUCAUUUUGACCUUUUAUUUUUUUCCAUUACGUGCAUUGUUACCCGUAAUGAGUACGUUCAUCUACCUGAUUACAGCCCCCACUGCCAUGCCCUCCAUCAAGUGUCGGAGAGGAGUCGAGAAGCUUUGAAAAUUCUAAAACUAAUCUAUCGACUAAUGUGACAUUUAUAUCUGAAAGUGAAACUGAUGUUGGAUAUACAUCUCUUUUAAAUGAAGAGAAUGAAGAAGCUGAGGAUUUAAAUGACGAAAAUUCUGAUAAUGACCAAGUUGAGGAGGAUCCCAAACCUGGUAUGGAGUUUGCCUUUGAACAUGAGCUUAUGGCCUAUUAUAAGCGAUAUGUCAAGCAAAAAGGUUUUGGUAUUAUAACACAACGGAUGAAGAGAGAGGCAGAUAGGAGCGUGAGGUAUUUGAUGAUUGGGUGUACGCGAGGUGGCAAGUACCAACCUAGCCAUAGUAAUAUCUUGAGGCCACGACCAACUAUUAACACAGAUUGUAAGACAAGGAUAAAUGCUCACUUGGUGAAUGGUACUUGGGAGGUGACCAUUGUUGAGAUUGCUCAUAAUCAUAGCACUGUCAGCCCACAAAAAUCUAGAUUCUUUAGAUCGCAUAAGUAUUUAGACAAAUACAGUUAGAGGAUGCUUGAUUUGAACAACAGAGCGUGUAUUCAAAUGAACAAGAAUUUUGGGCACUUGUUGUUGAUGCAGGGGGGUUCGAGAAUCUAGAUUUUUAAGAAAAAGACUGUCGAAAUUUUAUUGACAAAGUUAGGAAAUUAAGGUUGGGUAAAGGAGGUGGCGAAACACUUACUGAGUACUUCAAUAGGAUGAGAUUGCAGAAUGAUGGUUUUACAUAUAUGAUUGAUGUGGAUGAGGAGUUGAGAUUGAGAAAUGUGUUUUGGGCUGACGCACGUAGUCGAGCAGCGUAUGAGUAUUUUGGAAAUGUUAUCACCUUCGAUAUGACAUACCUAACCAAUAAAUACGGUAUGCCAUUUGCUCCAUUUGUUGGUGUAAAUCAUCAUGGAUAGUCUAUACUAUUAGGAGCUAGGUUGCUUUCAAGCGAAGACACAAGUACUUUUCUGUGGUUGUUUUGAACAUAGUUAGAAUGCAUGGAUGGUUGGGCUCCAAAAGCAAUUAUUACUGACCAAGAUCGAGCAAUGAAAAGUGCUAUUGUUCUGGUAUUCCCAGACACUCACCAUAGAUAUUGUCUAUGACAUAUAGUACAAAAAUUGCCCGAGAAAUUGGGAUCUCACACUGCCUAUAAUGCAGGGUUGAAGACUUCCAUCCAGAGUGCCCUAUAUGAUUCACAGACAUGAGCAGAAUUUGAGAUGAAGUGGGGGCAACUUAUUCAGAAGUAUGAACUUGGUGAUAAUGCAUGAAUGCAAGGGUUGUACAAUGAGAGGUCGUUCUGGGUAUCGGCGUACCUUAAGAGAGUAUUUUGGGAUGGCAUGAGCACAACUCAGAGGUCUGAAAGUAUGAACGCUUUCUUCGAUGGGUUUGUGCAUUCUAGUAUGACUUUGAAAGAAUUUAUCGAUCAAUUUGACAAUGCACUCAGAAAAAAGGUGGAGCUCGAGACGACAGCUGAUUUCAAUUCCUCCAACCAAACCAUCCCAUGUUCAUCUGCAUUCUGCAUUGAGAAAUAAUUUCAAUCGGUGUAUACGAGUGCAAAAUUUAAAGAGGUCCAAAGAGAGGUGUGGGGAGUGAUUUUAUAUAACUGCAUACUUAUCAGCAAGGAUGGUUGCAUUUCCACCUACGAUGUUUUGGGUGAAAUUACCACUGAUUAUGACCAUGUCAAGAGCGUAAAGUACACAGUUUACUUUAACCAGGAGGAAGUUGAUGUUAAAUGCACAUGUGCAUUAUUUGAGAUGGGGAGAUUCUUUGUAGGCAUGCAUUGAACGUUUGCCAGAUGAAUAAGAUUCAUGCGUUGCUAGAUACGUACAUCUUGGAUCGAUGGAGGAAGGACUUAAAUAGGAGAUAUACAAUAGUAAAAAGUAGCUAUGACGACUUGCGACAGAAUGUGGACUCACGAAGGUAUGAGUUCGUGGUUAAACAGUGCCUCACUUGGGCAACCCAUGUUUGCCCAAGUGAUGAUCAUGUUAUUGCAUUCAUGUGCCACUUGGAUGAGUUUGAGAAUAAAUUUAAAGGAUUAACACUCGAGUUCGGUUCAAGUAAGGUAAAAGAGACUAUGGUCAUGGACAAGGGUAAGAAAAUCUUAGGCCCACACAUUGUUCGAGGGAAAGGGAGGCCACCAAUGAAAAUGAAGGUUCUGCCUGUGGAGAAAACUGCAACAAAGCGAAAGAAGAAACCGACUUGCAGGAAAAUAUUUGAUGAUGCAUCACAGGAUGGUGAGGUAUUGGAAGCUCCAGAAACUGAUAAGAUAUCAUGUGAUGUUCCUGCAGUACUGAAGGCUUUGGAGGAGAUUGGUUCUCAACUAAGGAAAAACCCUCCACAACAAGUGAUUUCUAUUAGCCCAUCAUACAACUAUACUGCAAUCAGACCACCCCAACCAUUCUUGGACCCAACUUCAGGUAUAUGGUGGGAAAGGUGAACAAGAACAUCGACAAAUUCAAUUUGCCAGUAGCACUCAACAGAUUCAUCUAGAGGAAGGCCCUGGUGAUAUACUUGUAUUUUUUGACUGGGCAAGAGGAGAUUGAAUCAGUCGAACGACUUGUAAAAGAGCGACUUCAACAGUUACCUGAAGGCAGUUGAAAGCUGUUAACCGUUCCCAUAUUUUCAGCUCUUCCCUCAGAAAAGCAAAUGCGAGCAUUUAGACAAGCUCCAGCCGGUUUCCGUAAGGCAAGAACUGCAAUGAGAUGCUUUUCAAGUCCAGAGGGAGACCACCUCACUUUGGUUAAUGUGUACCAUGCUUGUGAUGAGUUCUUGGAUAAGAGAGUGGUGGGGCUCAGCAAAGAGAAAAAGGACAAAAUUCUGAGCAAGUGGUGCAAGGAAAAUUUCAUCAAUAGUCGUUCCCUGAGACAUGCUCGUGACAUUCACAGAUCUCCACGCCUAAUUUAUUAGGUGCUUAUUGCAGUCAAAUUCGAUGUCAUGUUGAACAAAUGGGUCUUCGUGUUGCUUCUUGUGGAGAUGGCAUGGUUCAGUUCCGCAAAUGUCUCGCUGCUUCAUUCUUCCUCAAUGCAGCUUUGAGGCAGCCAGAGGGAACAUAUAGGUUGAAGCAAAACUCAAAAGGUACUUUUACAAACACGUGCUGACCUGGGAUGUUGCCUACCAUAUUGGCUUUCAAUAUCAGAAGAAAAACUUGGUUCAACACGUUUAUUGCACCAAUCAAGUCAUUACCUUUUUGGAAAAAUAAAAGGAAUGUUAAUUUAGAUGCAGCACCUUAAAGUUUUGGAGUUAUUCUAUGAGCUACCUUGCUUAAAGCACUCUUUCAGAAAACAAUUCUUGAUGCCAAUCUUUGUCUUCUAAAUCAUGCUGGAUGCCGCAGUUUGAUGUUUUGGUUCCUCUACUGCAAUGUGAGAAAGGAGAAUGGAGAAUUGGAAUUCUGUAGCAGAUAUUUAUUUUUCUUUUAAAAAAAGCUGGCUGUUUUCUGAUGGAAAUUCUCCCUGGAAGUAGGAAUUUGAUGGCUUCUGGCCCAGUUUUUAGGCACUGGCUCUCAACUUGUCUGGGCGGGGGCUUCUGGUGCAUAUUUCCUAGGUCUAUUUACAUUGAGGAGUUUCUUUCGAAGGUGGCUCCCAGUUAUCUAUGGAGAUUUCCAUCAACUUGACUGAAGGCAAUGUUUCACUCCUGCCUUGUGUAUCAUAAUAUAUAAAGACCAGGAGGGCUGUUGCUUAACUCUUAAGGCAUCUCAGCAGACUCAGCAGACCAAACAAUUUGCUGCUUCCUCGAGUCCCCCUACUUGCUUGGAGAUACGCGCAUACUUUAGUUCAUUACAGAAGUUAUUAUUGAUCUCGAUGAGGUUGUGGCAGCCUUGAGCAUUGAUGAGUAACCAUAGUCUCCAGUCACAAGGGUUUGCAAUAGAAGUUUUGCUAUGUACAAGCGAACUUGCAUACCAAUCUGCGUAUUAAUGUUAAUAGAUUCAUAUUCAAAAUUUAAAUUGAUACUAUUUUUAAUAAAAUUUAUUUUCUGACUAAUCACAUUGGAUGGGUGCACGUAUUGGUGUAUAGAAUCGCUUACAACUAGAUUUUUUCUUGCAAGAGACUUUGAUAUUAGAUACUUCAUAAUUCUGACUUAAAGGAAUAGGAAAAUUGUUGUCUGAGUGCUGUGAUGUAUCUUGUGCCUCUGUAUAUAUUAUUUGAGCAUUAAUUGGAUGAAACCCAA